This 1345-nucleotide ribosomal RNA is filed under the name uncultured bacterium. RNAcentral describes it as "bacterial SSU rRNA". It matches the Rfam family "Bacterial small subunit ribosomal RNA", at positions 28 to 1381 of the family's 1533-position model. The record is from RNAcentral.
GACGAACGCUGGCGGCGUGCUUAACACAUGCAAGUCGAACGGAAAGGCCCUGCUUUUGUGGGGUGCUCGAGUGGCGAACGGGUGAGUAACACGUGAGUAACCUGCCCUUGACUUUGGGAUAACUUCAGGAAACUGGGGCUAAUACCGGAUAGGAGCUCCUGCUGCAUGGUGGGGGUUGGAAAGUUUCGGCGGUUGGGGAUGGACUCGCGGCUUAUCAGCUUGUUGGUGGGGUAGUGGCUUACCAAGGCUUUGACGGGUAGCCGGCCUGAGAGGGUGACCGGCCACAUUGGGACUGAGAUACGGCCCAGACUCCUACGGGAGGCAGCAGUGGGGAAUAUUGCACAAUGGGCGGAAGCCUGAUGCAGCAACGCCGCGUGCGGGAUGACGGCCUUCGGGUUGUAAACCGCUUUCGCCUGCGACGAAGCGUGAGUGACGGUAAUGGGUAAAGAAGCACCGGCUAACUACGUGCCAGCAGCCGCGGUGAUACGUAGGGUGCGAGCGUUGUCCGGAUUUAUUGGGCGUAAGGGCUCGUAGGUGGUUGAUCGCGUCGGAAGUGUAAUCUUGGGGCUUAACCCUGAGCGUGCUUUCGAUACGGGUUGACUUGAGGAAGGUAGGGGAGAAUGGAAUUCCUGGUGGAGCGGUGGAAUGCGCAGAUAUCAGGAGGAACACCAGUGGCGAAGGCGGUUCUCUGGGCCUUUCCUGACGCUGAGGAGCGAAAGCGUGGGGAGCGAACAGGCUUAGAUACCCUGGUAGUCCACGCUGUAAACGGUGGGUACUAGGUGUGGGGUCCAUUCCACGGGUUCCGUGCCGUAGCUAACGCUUUAAGUACCCCGCCUGGGGAGUACGGCCGCAAGGCUAAAACUCAAAGGAAUUGACGGGGCCCCGCACAAGCGGCGGAGCAUGCGGAUUAAUUCGAUGCAACGCGUAGAACCUUACCUGGGUUUGACAUGGAUCGGGAGCGCUCAGAGAUGGGUGUGCCUCUUUUGGGGUCGGUUCACAGGUGGUGCAUGGCUGUCGUCAGCUCGUGUCGUGAGAUGUUGGGUUAAGUCCCGCAACGAGCGCAACCCUUGUUCACUGUUGCCAGCACGUUAUGGUGGGGACUCAGUGGAGACCGCCGGGGUCAACUCGGAGGAAGGUGGGGAUGACGUCAAGUCAUCAUGCCCCUUAUGUCCAGGGCUUCACGCAUGCUACAAUGGCUGGUACAGAGAGUGGCGAGCCUGUGAGGGUGAGCGAAUCUCGGAAAGCCGGUCUCAGUUCGGAUUGGGGUCUGCAACUCGACCUCAUGAAGUCGGAGUCGCUAGUAAUCGCAGAUCAGCAACGCUGCGGUGAAUACGUUCCCGGGGCU